AGUGGUAUAGCUGGGUCAAAUGGUGGUUCCAUUCCCAAUUUUUUAAGGAAUCCUCAUACUGCUUUCUAGAUUGGUUGCACCAAUUUACAGUCCCACCAUCCGU
Molecule: microRNA precursor, 103 nt
Filed under: Marmota monax (woodchuck)
Lineage: Eukaryota; Metazoa; Chordata; Mammalia; Rodentia; Sciuridae
Source: RNAcentral